UGGGGAAUAUUGGACAAUGGGCGCAAGCCUGAUCCAGCCAUGCCGCGUGAGUGAUGAAGGCCUUAGGGUUGUAAAGCUCUUUCAGUGGGGACGAUAAUGACGGUACCCACAGAAGAAGCCCCGGCUAACUUCGUGCC
Molecule: ribosomal RNA, 137 nt
Filed under: uncultured bacterium
Lineage: Bacteria
Description: partial 16S ribosomal RNA
Rfam family: Bacterial small subunit ribosomal RNA
Source: RNAcentral